GGGCUUGGAGAAAUUGUCUGCCUCUCGACGAUCGAAGUACUCGCCUGACCGAGGUGGUGAACGUCUCGUUCACCGCGCGUUCGCUCAGUCGCCUCCUUUCCUCGAGUGCGCUUUUCGCCGCAGCCGCCGAUCUCCGAGAGUUUGUUUUUCUUUUCUGUGACACGCGUGAUUCGAAGGUGGUGCAUUGGCAGUUUUCAGUGAGGUGAUUUCGACGAAAUCUAUUUUUUUUUUACUUGUGACAAACGCCAUUAAUUGGAAAUUUUCAUCCGUACGUUCGAGGAAUUAGCGAACGGGACGUUCAAUAUCUUCGAAGCGGAAAGCGGAAGGCGUGCAGGAGAUGCAUUUACCGAUAUCCAGGCUUCUUAAAAAAAAAAAAAAAAA
Long non-coding RNA from Monomorium pharaonis (pharaoh ant), 381 nucleotides. RefSeq lists it as uncharacterized. The transcript has 2 exons. NCBI's taxonomy places the organism in Eukaryota, Metazoa, Arthropoda, Insecta, Hymenoptera, Formicidae. The record is from RefSeq and is a predicted model, not a curated record.